AGAACAUGCUGCUGCGGGGCUGUGUGCUGCGAAACACCGAGUGGUGCUUCGGGCUGGUCAUCUUUGCAGGUCCCGACACUAAGCUGAUGCAAAACAGCGGCAGAACAAAGUUCAAAAGAACGAGUAUCGAUCGCCUAAUGAAUACCCUGGUGCUCUGGAUUUUUGGAUUCCUGGUUUGCAUGGGGGUGAUCCUGGCCAUUGGCAAUGCCAUCUGGG
RNAcentral lists this unclassified non-coding RNA (216 nucleotides) under Hevea brasiliensis (rubber tree). Lineage: Eukaryota; Viridiplantae; Streptophyta; Magnoliopsida; Malpighiales; Euphorbiaceae. The record is from RNAcentral.